GGCGAGUGAAGCGGCAACAGCUCAAAUUUGAAAUCUGGCCUUCCGGGCCCGAGUUGUAAUUUGUAGAGGGAGUUUCGGAGGCGGCACCGGCCUAAGUUCCUUGGAACAGGGCGUCAUAGAGGGUGAGAAUCCCGUACGUGGCCGGUGAUCAAUUCCGUGUGAAACCCCUUCGACGAGUCGAGUUGUUUGGGAAUGCAGCUCAAAAUGGGUGGUAAAUUUCAUCUAAAGCUAAAUAUUGGCCAGAGACCGAUAGCGCACAAGUAGAGUGAUCGAAAGAUGAAAAGCACUUUGGAAAGAGAGUUAAAAAGUACGUGAAAUUGUUGAAAGGGAAGCGCUUGCAAUCAGACUUGCUCGCGGGUGAUCAGCCUUCCUUCGGGGGGGUGCACUCGCCCGCGAUCAGGCCAGCAUCGGUUUUGGCGGGCGGAUAAAGGCCCCAGGAAUGUAACUCCCCUCGGGGAGUGUUAUAGCCUGGGGUGCAAUGCGCCCAGCCGGGACCGAGGACCGCGCUUCGGCUAGGAUGCUGGCGUAAUGGUUGUAAGCGACCCGUCUUGAAACACGGACCAAGGAGUCUAACAUCUGUGCGAGUGUUUGGGUGUCAAGCCCAUGCGCGGAAUGAAAGUGAACGGAGGUGGGAGCCCUUUCGGGGGCGCACCAUCGACCGAUCCUGAUGUUUUCGGAUGGAUUUGAGUAGGAGCAUAGCUGUUGGGACCCGAAAGAUGGUGAACUAUGCGUGAAUAGGGUGAAGCCAGAGGAAACUCUGGUGGAGGCUCGCAGCGGUUCUGACGUGCAAAUCGAUCGUCAAAUUUGCGUAUAGGGGCGAAAGGUCAGUCGAACAUUCCUCCACUCCAUUCAUCGGGACCGCCAAUACUAACAUACUUGCAGACUAAUCGAACCAUCUAGUAAAUCGCUACUAGAGACACAACAACCAGGGGCUCUUUUGCCCCAGUAGUCCCUAAAUA
RNAcentral lists this ribosomal RNA (959 nucleotides) under Aspicilia humida. RNAcentral describes it as "partial large subunit ribosomal RNA". It matches the Rfam family "Eukaryotic large subunit ribosomal RNA", at positions 88 to 1207 of the family's 3401-position model. The record is from RNAcentral. Lineage: Eukaryota; Fungi; Ascomycota; Lecanoromycetes; Pertusariales; Megasporaceae.